RNAcentral lists this ribosomal RNA (575 nucleotides) under uncultured bacterium. RNAcentral's name for it is "partial 16S ribosomal RNA". It matches the Rfam family "Bacterial small subunit ribosomal RNA", at positions 355 to 918 of the family's 1533-position model. The record is from RNAcentral.
UGGGGAAUUUUGGACAAUGGGCGAAAGCCUGAUCCAGCAAUGCCGCGUGUGUGAAGAAGGCCUUCGGGUUGUAAAGCACUUUUGUCCGGAAAGAAAUCCUUGGCUCUAAUACAGUCGGGGGAUGACGGUACCGGAAGAAUAAGCACCGGCUAACUACGUGCCAGCAGCCGCGGUAAUACGUAGGGUGCAAGCGUUAAUCGGAAUUACUGGGCGUAAAGCGUGCGCAGGCGGUUUGCUAAGACCGAUGUGAAAUCCCCGGGCUCAACCUGGGAACUGCAUUGGUGACUGGCAGGCUAGAGUAUGGCAGAGGGGGGUAGAAUUCCACGUGUAGCAGUGAAAUGCGUAGAGAUGUGGAGGAAUACCGAUGGCGAAGGCAGCCCCCUGGGCCAAUACUGACGCUCAUGCACGAAAAGCGUGGGGGAGCAAAACAGGAUUAGAUACCCCUGGUAGUCCACGCCCUAAAACGAUGUCAACUAGUUGUUGGGGAUUCAUUUCCUUAGUAACGUAGCUAACGCGUGAAGUUGACCGCCUGGGGAGUACGGUCGCAAGAUUAAAACUUAAAUGAAUUGACGGGG